This is a long non-coding RNA of Daphnia carinata, 3404 nucleotides long. RefSeq lists it as uncharacterized. The transcript is spliced from 16 exons. The record is from RefSeq and is a predicted model, not a curated record. Lineage: Eukaryota; Metazoa; Arthropoda; Branchiopoda; Diplostraca; Daphniidae.
AACCGAUGGAUAGUUUACGAUAGUGCAAUCAUUGUUCUGGCUGAUCAUCGGAAGGCAUUUUUUUUUUUUUUAAUAAUGUGGUUCCAUUAAAUCCGCUAUCUUCUAAAAUGACGACAGGGUUAUCGGUGUGACCCAGGAACUGAGCCCUGCUACUGCCCCGGUGUAGAAAAUGUCUCUGUCAUCCCGUGAUUGGCCCAUUCCAGGCAUGGAGGAGGUGGUGACCCCGGAUUACAGCCAAUCAGGUGUUUAAUGCCGGCUACUGCUUUCGUUUCGCAUUACGUCUUAUUUGGAAAAGUAUGACAACAAAGCAUGAGGCAUUUUCUGGCGCUUAACUGACAAGAAAGAAAAAGGCUUUUUUUCAUUUGGGCGCAAAAUUUUUAGACAAGAGAUUCCUACAAAUAAUUUCCGUUCAUUGGCCUGUCUGACACCAUCUCUUGUCAGACAAAAAUGAAGCAUGGUAUUCAAAAGGGCAGUUUUCUUCUCUGAGUUAACAUCCAGCAUAAGCAAGGGAAAAAGGUGUCAAAUCAGGCUUCAUCUCUGCUCAGUGUCAUGGGCGAUUAAGAAUACAUUGUUGGGAAAUUCUCGGUCUGAGGAGAAGGAUGGUGAAGUUGAGUAUUUGCUGAUAGGGAUUGGUGUUUCAAACAAUGGAAAUACUUGGGAGCCCGAGCAAAUCUUUAUUGUAAUAAUUUCAUUGCAGCAUUCGAAAGCAAAUGUCUACCAUUGAAUGAGAAUCCUGAAAACAAGCUAAGCCAAGAGAAGAAAAGUGUGAAGAAAAAGAGAACUAAAGCAUAGAUUCGAACAUGGAUCGAAAUGUAGUGGCGGAGACAAUUUUAGGAGCGAGCGAUGACGGUGACGAAACUAUAUAGGCUGACCAGAAUUACAAACACAUUGGCACAGCAGUCUUUCAGCGAUCAUUGUUUUUCAAUGCUCAGUUUAAUUUGGUUUAGCAUAACAUUACUUCGGAAGCACAGCACUUCUGGCUACUGUUUUACAUGCCACGUCUUCGUUUUUCGUCUUCUCGGAAUAGAGCUUUAGAGUGUGGGAGUGAAAAAUAUAAAGGCCAUUAUUGGUGUUGAACAAUGGAUUCCUAUCCUAUCCCCCUCAAUUUGCUUGAUGUUCUAGCAAUGGCGUCUCUCAGAGAAUAACCUUGGCAAUUUUGAGAAGUAGAAAAUCCUCUGUGUAUUUUCAUCUUGCCAGCUCAGUAGAGCACCAACUACUACGGUGUGCACUCGUGUUUUUAUUGCACAUGUUAUCUUCGCAGUGUUUCACAGGGAAAUGUUGAAAUUGACCUCUUCACAGAAUGGCAGUUGCACCGUAAAAGCCACCAUCCCUGAUAAACUCUUAAUGGUUAAUUUUUUAUUUUCAGGUUCUAUUAAUUUUAAUGACUGCAUCAGAUUGUUGUCAUUGAUUUUUGUUUUUAUCGGGAUAACCAGAUCGGCAACUCCUUUUCUAUCUCCUUGCUAUUCGGACCGACCUCGCCAUGUUUCGGACAUGUGGAAUACAUUGUUACUGAAGAAUGAGGGAAGACCAAUCGACGAAGAAAGUGAAAAGGUGUGGUCGUUCUAUGCCGUUCACGAAUUGUGAUGCAGUCUGCCAGAGAAAAAGUUUUACCAAACAUCAAAGGAUUUGCACUCAAACUGAAAUUUAACUAGACGUUUUCUUCAUAAACAAGGAUGUAUUGAGAAAUUUCUUGUUCCUCCAAAGCGGUCCAUUUGCUUAUGCAGAACUUGUGUACCAGUACAAGUGGCCAGCACCAUAAUAUAUGGCACAUAAAACUAAAUUCACAAAUACCACAGUGAUCUAAUGUCAACAGGAAAGUGUGAUGAUUGUUACUGCAAAUCUGCAGAAACUGGUGAGCUGUGUGACUGGCUGCUAAGUGCUAACCACUCAUCUUGAGUAUUUGAUCUCAUACAACUGUCAGAUUGAAAAGAAAUGCAGAAUGCCACAGUUUCCUCAGUAUAGAGAUGAACAGUGUAGCAAGUCCAGGUCACCUAACCUGUAGCUCAUGAAAUCUCCAACAACUAGUCAACGUAGAUGAUUUGAACCACUUAUCCAAAGGGCAAUAAAAGUCGACAUGGCUUUUUAAAAAGUAUGGAAGAGUUAACAGAUAAACAUUUUGAUAAAUGUCAAUGACGAUCAAAUAAGUUAAAUUAAGCACCAUAUCUAGGACCUGAUUCCUGAAACAGUGACGUGGGAUAAUACAUUUGCAGGUCAAUGUAUUUAAUCUAUUCGCAGUCCGGCGAUAAACCUGGAUUUGCUUCCUUGCGCACUGAAGUUGAAGAGACUGGAGAUUAAUUCGGUUGGCGUAUUUUGGAGUAAUCCAAAAAUAGGUGGGUACGUGGGUCAUGUUGAAUAAUGGAAAAGCAGAAUAAAAUGAAACUUCGGAAAAACAGGAAUUAUUUGGAAGGAACGCUGUGAACGGAGGAUUUCUUCGAAUGGUGAGCUUCGGCCGUUGCAAAUUGGAUUGUGGACAAAUUGGACGAAGGUUGUCCACUCGGUUGUUGUUGAUGGAAGUGGUCGUUCAGUGAGUCUCCUCCCCGGGAUAUUGGAGCAAAAAAACUGAAAGGCUGUUGGUGAUCGAUCAUGAUUUAGGGAAUUGCGAAAUGGAUGUAUUGAGUGGAAAGAGUGGACGUGAAUAAGGCGACGAAAGAGUACAGCCGCGCAACUUCCGAAUGUUGCAAUAUGCAUCUUACGCUUCCAAUUCCGGAUUGUAUUCUCGCAGCAGGAUGGUUGAGCACGCUUCUCAGCGAUUUUGCUUUGUUACUUCUUAUCUGUUCUAAUAUUUGUUUUUUUUUUAUAAAUGUGUGGAGUUAUUGGCUUUUAAGUUCUAGAAAAAAUUACACAGAGAUGAGUGUGGAGGGGGUGAUGGAGGGUAGUAUGAUGUAAAUAUGAAAUUUAUUUGUUCGGUAGAUUGGGGUAGGUUGUGCUAAUCAAUCCUAACUUGCAUGGGGGUAAGGUUUGAAUAGGAAGUUGGGUCAACUUAGUGAAGUCCCUGACUUUUGUAGGCUAAAGGUGAGUUGGGGAAGAUUUAAGGAUAAUGAACGUUAACAUCAGUUAUCCUGACCCAUGUACCACAUGUUUGUUUCAUGCAAUAGGUAAAUGUAAGCAUCGCGAAAUUGAAUCGCAAAAAACCAUACAAAAUGUGCAGGUAAAAGUAUAAUUGAAUUAUAAUAAUAGCAUUGUAUAUGCAGGUUAUGUUGAAAAUUAACAAAUAUUGGUAAGUUAAACAUAUUGAGGUUGGAUGUAUUUCAUUAAUUUGUAUGAAAAGGCGGUAGUUAAUUUAAUUAUCACCUAGAUAUAUAUAGCUAAUUUACUUAUUACCCUGUCUUUUCCAGGUCCAAUCCACGCAGCAUUUGCUAUUAUUGCCCAAGAAUUGAAAUUAAUUCAUCUGUAAAUGGACAACA